Molecule: ribosomal RNA, 263 nt
Filed under: uncultured bacterium
Lineage: Bacteria
Description: partial 16S ribosomal RNA
Rfam family: Bacterial small subunit ribosomal RNA
Source: RNAcentral
GUCCACGCUGUAAACGAUGGGUGCUAGGUGUGGGGGUAUCGACCCCCCGUGCCGAAGCUAACGCAUUAACCACCCCGCCUGGGGAGUACGGCCGCAAGGUUGAAACUCAAAGGAAUUGACGGGGGCCCGCACAAGCGGUGGAGCAUGUGGUUUAAUUCGACGCAACGCGAAGAACCUUACCUGGGCUUGACAUCCCGAGAAUCCCCUGGAAACAGGGGAGUGCCCUUCGGGGAACUCGGAGACAGGUGCUGCAUGGCUGUCGU